CAUAUGGAAGACCCGGUCGAAAAGGAGGAGACGGACGCUUUGACAGAGACAGGCCACAAGGCAGAGUAGGCGGUGGGAGAGGGGGAGGCAGAGGCCGAGGUGGAGGUGGAGGCAACAACGGAGGCAAAAGCCGUUCAGGCUGGUAUAAAGUAACGAUACCACAUGGAAAGAAAUAUGACAAGAAAUGGUUAUUGCCAGCUCUUCAGAACAUCUGUACGGUUCCCUACACACCAGUACAGUACCAUGUUGACCAUACCAGGGCCCAUUUUUAUGUGGAUGAUUCCUCUACUGCCAACGCUUUGCACAAAUGUACUCACAAGAUCACAGACACGGAUGGAUAUAAGGUAUGUUG
Molecule: long non-coding RNA, 352 nt
Organism: Notothenia coriiceps (black rockcod)
Lineage: Eukaryota; Metazoa; Chordata; Actinopteri; Perciformes; Nototheniidae
Exons: 3
Source: RefSeq, a predicted model, not a curated record